Cavia porcellus (domestic guinea pig) is the source of this 5918-nucleotide long non-coding RNA. RefSeq lists it as uncharacterized. Lineage: Eukaryota; Metazoa; Chordata; Mammalia; Rodentia; Caviidae. The record is from RefSeq and is a predicted model, not a curated record. The transcript has 8 exons.
GGGCCCAACUACUGUGCUAACCAGAACAGCGCAUGUGACAAAGGGAAUUCUUUCCUUUCUUUUGCUGUUCUUUGCUGCCUUCCAGGAAGAUUUAAAUAGCAACAAAAAAGCAAAACACCCCACUUUCGAGUUUCAAGCACAGCCUGUUCCUCCACAAGAAAAGGAGAAGCCUCAGAAAAACAUACCCACAAGUCUCAUUCAGCUCCCCUGACUAGGUCUUGGCUAGGGGCUCAGCUAACCGGCUCCCAAGCACACAGGGCAGCGAGGAAGAGAUCUGCUCUGGCUUCCUGUGGAUUCCGGGAUGCAGUGGAAGCCACAGAAUUUCCAGGUGGACUCUUUGCACAUAUCCUCAUCCCCUGCAAGAGGAGGGCAGAGAUUUUGUGCUGGAGUUUGACAUUAAAAGCCUCAUUCUGGCUGAGGCCUGACAGAGCAGAAAAGCCUGAAAUUAAUGCCAACCUCAGGACAUCUGGAACACACACCAGGCCAGUGGAUCUUUAAAUUAAAACCCAGACUUCCCUGCCUGCCUCCUCUGCACUUUCAAGCAUCAGGCAACACAUGUCAGCAGUCCACAGAGCACAGGAUCCUGCUUCCUGAACAGGUCUCGGUAGGUGGUGCCCAAUGUGGGGCCUGAGCUUGGAGUAACUCAGCAAACUGAAACGAAGAGACAGACACUCUGGAACUGAUUAAGUAAUUCAUGGGUUUUAGGUCUGCACUGGAUGUGAAAGCACUCUGGCUGUGACACCUGUUACCCCACUGAUCACCAGGAUUGAUUCAGCUGAUCUGAAUGGUGAGGCAUUCACAGCACUGCAUGUACAGUCAUCCCUCCAAAGCUGUCUAUGCACACCCCAGAUGGCGAAGGGCUGCUUCCUCUGUCAAGGAUACAUGAACAGCUGUGUUCCCCUGCUACAACCUCCAAACAAGCUAAUCCAUACGUUGGAAACAAUCCUGAUGAAACAGUACCGAGAAAUGGAAACCGUAGGAGGUGAUGACAUCACGAGGACUCUUCCCUGCAUCUUAGUAUAACAGUCACCACCAAGAAGCGCAUUCACACAGCCACUGGAGCCAUCCUACUGUGCUCCCCCCGGUGAGACAGUGAAGUCCCCUGCCCUUUCAGCUUGGCUAAUCCAGGAUUUGGUGUUUCUUUCACUCAGAAGCAGGAUGACUGAAAGUUAUCUAUCAAGAAUCUACAGAUCAGCCUCCGGGGAACCGAUCUGUGACCCUGCGUUUCCCACCUGCACACCCUUGGGCUCCAGGAGGUGGCCAGCAGUGCUCCCUGACCUUGGUGCAGAAAGCAAGGGCAAGAAGGAGCAGAGAGCUGGGGUCACCAUGUUCCAGAGUCAGUAGUACCAGAAGUCUUCUCGCAGGACUCUCUGCUGUCCACCAGUGUGAAUGCAGGCACAUUGGCCCUUUUCCCAGUGAACACAGCUACGAGUAUCACAUCUGUGCGGAAAGGAAGCAGUCCUCUUUCAGCAACCCUCCCCAUCUCGGUCCUUAUUAUCAGGGAGGGAAACUCUUGCCUCAUUCUUUGAAAAAGACAUCUCCCCUCGUCUGCAAAAAAGGACUCCUCCUCCCCAGAGCUGCAGAGCAAGGAGGCAAUGGUGUGAAGGCACAGUGUGCAGUGGGCACAAUGCUACCAGAACCACAGCAAUGGGAGAGUUUCUGCACAGCCAUCCUUUGCAGUCCCAGACCAGGCUCCUACACUCUGGGCAUCAGCAGUUUCUCCCUGUGCCAGGAAGGUUGCCAGUUCCUUUAUCUUCACUCAAGACAGGUGUGGGCUUGGUCCUGUAGCUGCAGUCUCUGUGUUCCUGUAAUGAUGCACUAUGCACCCCUCCUUGCCUGGCCCGUGAUGAUGUCACUGUGGAGAACUGUGCCCAGAAUCCUGCACAGGGAAGAGUGGGGCACAGUACCUGGUGUUUAUUUGUCUGUAAGCUCCCUUUGUUUGUUGUAAGUGUUGUGGAAAACACCAGGACUGAACCUGAUGGAAGACAUGCAGCAUCAACGCAUUUGGAAGAAAACAGAUUUAUUUAUGCAAGCAGGCUGGGGAAACUCAGUUCCAAAUCACCAGCCUCUGCUUGAGGUUAAACAGACACUUUUACACAUAUUAAGUGUGAAGUAUAAAAGGCUGAUACUGGGUCAUGUUACAGUUGGUGCUUGUAGCCCAAAAACGAGCCCCCAAAAUGGUGUCCAAAAUGGGGCAAGACAUGUUUUUUGAAGAAAAAGCAGCACUGUUUAUUUUAACCUGGUACCAGGGACACAGUGCAGUUGGGGUUUGCAAAGCUGUGUAACUUGCUUAAAACUUUUACAGACUUCUGUAGAAAGAGCAAUUACAAAGUGAAUGGCUUAUGGGCAUGGAUCAGGAAAUCCUUGAUCCACUGAGGAAUGAGGAAGACCUUUGUUUCCCUUUGCAGAGGACAGAGAGGUCUCACAGGAAUUUACAAUCCUUUGUCAGCUAAUUUUAGCACUUAAUUUUAGAUAACAUCUGUCCUUUGCAGAGGGUAGCAAUGGUUAACAUAUCAAUCAGGUCACCCAGAAAGAUGACACAUAUAGAACAGUAUGAUGGUGCUAUAGGUUGUAGAAAAUAGUUGCGUUUGCAAAGGGAAUUCACAGGUAAUUUGGUCAUAUAACUUGGGCAUUGGCAAACACAACACAAACAUAACGAAGCUCUUUUUGUUAGUGUAUAACAUUGGUCAUAGAUGUCUUAUCAUACAUUGUUAGGCAAAUUCAUUUUUGGCAGGUUUAGUUGGGGGUUUCUUAUCAUACAGAAGGAUGGUCAGGCGAAGCAAGUCAGCACAACAAGAUGUACUUUCUGGCUCAGUUAUGUUUACCCUACACAUUACAGCUGGUGUGAAGGAUGGCAAGGUUAGCUCCGUCUGACACUCUAUGAGUCAGGCUGGGCCUGCCUACCCUGUCCUUAAUACGGUGUCAGAUUAUGGGUUUUUGAAUUUUCCUUUACAAUACCAAGCAACUGUUUCUUCAAUAGUAUUCUGUAGAAUGUAUAUUUUGGAAACCCUGAUCAAUUCAUAAUUAUAUAAUUCUGGAAGAUUUUUUUUUCCUACAUAAUGACUGUGUAGCUGUUAAAUAGAGCUUGCUAGUUAGUUUGUGAUCCUGACUGGAGUGGGUAUAGCUCCUCUUUAUCGAGCAUCUAAGGUGCCAGACAUUGCUCUUACACCUUUACAAUCUCAUUAAGCUCUGUUCAAAACCCUUUCAGAGUCCCAUUAAAAGAAGAGGAAAUUUAAAAAAAAAAAAAAAAGCUGAAAUAAUCUACCCAACGUUGUACAAAAAGUAAUGGAGUCAAGAUUCAAAUCCAGCUCUGAAUUUGAUUUUGAGUUUUCAUCUCUUCUCUUUAUGAAAAUCAGCCAAAAAUAAUUGUGUGUUAGAGAAACUAAAACCAAAACUCCUUACAAACUAGGGAAUAUUUUCUGGUUGUGUCCACCCCAAGUUAUGUCAAAAUUCUAACUCCCAAGGUGAUGGAAUCAGGCAGGAGACUUUGGUGUGUGAUUAGGUCACAAGAUCCUACCAUAAAUGGGAUGAAGCCCCAGGGGAUCACUUGCCCAUAGACCAAGGAAAAUCAGCAAGAAGGCAUUACCUGUGAACAGAGUGAGCACUCACAUGACCCCAAAUGUGAUCACACCUUGAUCUUGGACCUCUCAGCUUCUCAAAUGUGAAAAAUUUCUAGCCUAGUAUGAUAGUGCACACCUAAAUCCCAGCACUCUAGGAGGCCAAGGCAGGAGGGAGAAAGUUCUAAAUCAGCCUGGGCAGCUCAUAGGAUUUAGCAAGACACUGUCUCAAAAUAAAAAAAGGACUGAGGAAGUAGCUCAGUGCAGAGGUCCUGGCUUCAGUCCCCAUUACUGUGUUUCUAUUUGGGAUAUGCCACUCAGUUUAUGGUGUUUUUAAAAACAACAACUUGAAUGAACUAAGCCAGUAGGAGAUAGCUAACACCCCAGGUUCUAAAUUAGUUGAAAGGGCUUUCACAGGUAGUAAAAAUCAAGGAAGCAGGUACAAGGGGGUAAGCAAAGAUUGAAUGUACAACAGAGGAAUAGGCUGGCUUUGUGUGCACACCCACAUGCUGGGGUUUAAGGAUUUCUGUAUUUACUUAUGGUGAUCAUUAUUGAGCAUUAUAUUUUCAUGGAAACUUUAGAAAUGUAACAAAUUAGUUAGCAGUCUAAUUCCACGUUAAGACAGGAUAGGCUUAUUCAGCCCACACCACAUUAAAGUUAGACUUCUAGAUUCAAUUAGCCUUGAAUGACUGCAUCCAGCUGUUGCUUUUAGUAGUCUGUCCCAGGUUGGCUUGAUCAAAUCCCACCACACUGCCUGUGUCCCCACCAAAAUAUGCAGUUUUGCUAGCCUGUUCCAAGGACUUUCUACCAACAUAGACUAGCCCAGCCAAGAAUGCACUUGAUUACACCCAUCUCAUCAGGCCCCCGACUCCCCCCCUGGACUCUUCCUCCUUAUGCUAAACAAUCCCCUCUACCUAAGCCUACCCAGAACAAAUUGGCCUGACAACAUAUGCCCAGCUUAUGUAACCAAUUAUGAACUAACUUGCUAUCAGCUUAUGUACUUCCUGUUUGCAAAUCUGUAUAAUCAAACCCCAAAGCUGACUUGGGGCUAGUGAUAUGGAGCAGGUUUCUCACCAGCCCAUCAGUGUAAUAAAGCGUGGCCUUCCCACUGCUCGGUGUGGAGCACCUUCCUUUUGGUCCAGUUCCAAAACAAUAACUCUUCUAUGCAAUGUACACUAAGUGCUUAGACCUGUAUAUUUCCCUGAGAUAUGUGUCCCUGUCACAGCUGAAUUGUAUUAGCUUAAGCCUUCAGUUAGCUCAUUUUGUCAUUGGAAAUUCCUGGAAAUUCCUUGCCAUGAAGGUCGUGUGUUCCAGCCACGUUGAUUGCCAAAUAUUGUAAUCCAAAUAUUGUACAUUGUAAUCCUUUUUUCUGCCCCCCCCCCAUUGGCUUGAGAAAUUCUAUAUUUGUAAUCCCAUUAAAACAUUGAAAUCUUGGUGAGUUAAUUCCAAUCUACUACCUCCAGAGCACCCAUGGCAAGAAUAAAGACACUCAGAUAUAUCCAAAGUUAUGGAAGCCAAGGGGCCCAGUUGGUCCAGGUGAAGAUCAUACAAGAAAGGCCUUAAUCCAAGCAUCAUGCAGCAUUUACUAACUCGUGAGGAAGGGAGUGGCUCCCAGAUGAGUGACGGUGAGUAUGAUAGGAAUUACAUGAGUAAUUUGAGCUGAGCUGACCAGAUGAAGAGACAGAACUUCUACAAUAUGCAAGAAGAAGGCUAUGCAGAAAAACUAACCUAUAAACCUCAACUGAGGUCACAUUUGAAUGAUUCAGGAGGUUGUGGCCUUAGUUUUUGAUAAGUAAACUUUUGUACCCUGGGAAGUCACAGCCUCUUAUCUUGAGGCUCAAACCCAGCUGACAUUCCUGGAGCUAUGUGGCUCUGUUAGCCCUUUGUGCAAAACCAUAUAUAGGGAGCACAAUGUGAGGAAACAAAACACUGUCAGCUGGUUUCAGGAUUACAUAUCAGUACCUUAGUGAGCUUUAUUUUACAUUAUAGAGAGCCAAUUAAAGGGGGAAAUAGCAUAGCCAGCUCUGUGCAUAUCAGUAUGUGGAAACAAGUUUUGGUUUAAUGCUGAACUAAUUAUUCUGCCUUCAAGGGGAGCCACCCAGGUUGUCUCUUACGGUGAGUCACGCUAUACGAAUGCUUCAGCCAGGUCACCAAAAGGUCCUUUCCAGUCCCUUGUUAUGUACCUGCAGGGUGCUGCAUGCACCCCAUGGAAAUACAGAAAAAAGCAGUGAUCCAUCACAAAGGCGGAUAUGCUAACACUCGUCUCCUAUCUACUUAAAACUGUAAAAUUAUAUUUUCCCCUUUAAUAUUUCAAAUAUGUUAGUGCAACUUUCUAAUUAAAGUUCAAUCAGAGUAACAUUG